GAGGGUAGAGCUCAGCAGCAGAGCGCAUGCUUAGCAUGUAUGAGGUCCUGGGUUCAACCCCCAGUACCUCCA
RNAcentral lists this transfer RNA (72 nucleotides) under Camelus bactrianus (Bactrian camel). It matches the Rfam family "tRNA". Rfam says of the family: Transfer RNA (tRNA) molecules are approximately 80 nucleotides in length. The record is from Rfam by way of RNAcentral. Lineage: Eukaryota; Metazoa; Chordata; Mammalia; Artiodactyla; Camelidae. RNAcentral also lists the same sequence under 2 other names.